CAGCAGCCACGGUAAUACGUAGGUGGCAAGCGUUGUCCGGAAUUAUUGGGCGUAAAGGGCUCGCAGGCGGUUUCUUAAGUCUGAUGUGAAAGCCCCCGGCUCAACCGGGGAGGGUCAUUGGAAACUGGGAAACUUGAGUGCAGAAGAGGAGAGUGGAAUUCCACGUGUAGCGGUGAAAUGCGUAGAGAUGUGGAGGAACACCAGUGGCGAAGGCGACUCUCUGGUCUGUAACUGACGCUGAGGAGCGAAAUCGUGGGGAGCGAACAGGAUUAGAUACCCCCGUAGUCCCUGUCUCUUAUAC
This 301-nucleotide ribosomal RNA is filed under the name uncultured bacterium. RNAcentral's name for it is "partial 16S ribosomal RNA". It matches the Rfam family "Bacterial small subunit ribosomal RNA", at positions 509 to 807 of the family's 1533-position model. The record is from RNAcentral.